This 433-nucleotide ribosomal RNA is filed under the name uncultured bacterium. RNAcentral describes it as "partial 16S ribosomal RNA". It matches the Rfam family "Bacterial small subunit ribosomal RNA", at positions 29 to 507 of the family's 1533-position model. The record is from RNAcentral.
AACGAACGCUGGCGGCAUGCCUAACACAUGCAAGUCGAACGAGACCUUCGGGUCUAGUGGCGCACGGGUGCGUAACGCGUGGGAACCUGCCCUUAGGUUCGGAAUACCUCCCCGAAAGGGGUGCUAAUACCGGAUAAUAUCUUCGGACCAAAGAUUUAUCGCCUUUGGAUGGGCCCGCGUUGGAUUAGCUAGUUGGUAGGGUAAAAGCCUACCAAGGCGACGAUCCAUAGCUGGUCUGAGAGGAUGAUCAGCCACACUGGGACUGAGACACGGCCCAGACUCCUACGGGAGGCAGCAGUGGGGAAUAUUGGACAAUUGGGGAAAGCCUGAACCAGCAAUGCCGCGUGAGUGAUGAAGGCCUUAGGGUUGUAAAGCUCUUUUACCCGGGAUGAUAAUGACAGUACCGGGAGAAUAAGCUCCGGCUAACUCCGUG